RNAcentral lists this ribosomal RNA (253 nucleotides) under uncultured bacterium. RNAcentral describes it as "partial 16S ribosomal RNA". It matches the Rfam family "Bacterial small subunit ribosomal RNA", at positions 524 to 776 of the family's 1533-position model. The record is from RNAcentral.
UACGGAGGGAGCUAGCGUUGUUCGGAAUCACUGGGCGUAAAGCGCACGUAGGCGGAUUUGUCAGUCAGGGGUGAAAUCCCGGGGCUCAACCUCGGAACUGCCUUUGAUACAGCAAGUCUUGAGUUCGAGAGAGGUGGGUGGAAUUCCUAGUGUAGAGGUGAAAUUCGUAGAUAUUAGGAAGAACACCGGUGGCGAAGGCGGCCCACUGGCUCGAUACUGACGCUGAGGUGCGAAAGCGUGGGGAGCAAACAGG